This 362-nucleotide ribosomal RNA is filed under the name uncultured bacterium. RNAcentral describes it as "bacterial SSU rRNA". It matches the Rfam family "Bacterial small subunit ribosomal RNA", at positions 9 to 365 of the family's 1533-position model. The record is from RNAcentral.
GAGUUUGAUCGUGGCUCAGGACGAACGCUGGCGGCGCGCCUAACACAUGCAAGUCGAACGGAGAAAUGCUAAGCUUGCUUUGCAUUUCUUAGUGGCGGACGGGUGAGUAACACGUGAGCAACCUGCCUUUGUGAGGGGAAUAACGUCUGGAAACGGACGCUAAUACCGCAUAACGUCAAGGAACCGCAUGGUUUUUUGACCAAAGAUUUUAUCGCACAAAGAUGGGCUCGCGGCUGAUUAGCUAGUUGGCGGGGUAACGGCCCACCAAGGCGACGAUCAGUAGCCGGACUGAGAGGUUGAUCGGCCACAUUGGGACUGAGACACGGUCCAAACUCCGUACGGGAGCAGCAGUGAGGAAUAUU